CGAUGUUGUGACCCAGCUCGUAUGUCGAGGUGCUAGAACAUGCCCAGUUGCCCGAAGACCUCAUCUUAGCCAUACACCAAUGCAUUGUUUGAGUUCGUACCCAACAACAAUAACAUCAACCCUAAUAACCUAGAAAAAGACUGCCUGACCCUGUAAGUAGCCACCCUGAUAAACGAAUUCGAGUCGCCCCUCCCCCUGCUCUACCUCCACCUCCUAGACGGCUUGCCCAAC
Molecule: long non-coding RNA, 231 nt
Filed under: Carica papaya (papaya)
Lineage: Eukaryota; Viridiplantae; Streptophyta; Magnoliopsida; Brassicales; Caricaceae
Description: long non-coding RNA (CPAP_LNC005863)
Source: RNAcentral